GACAGGUUGAGGCCCCAGUCCAGGCUGGAAAGGAACUGGCCAGAACUGACCCUCUGUCCUGCCAGGAGAUCUUUCCUCCCCACCCCACCCAAAUUCUGCUCUUUUGUCUUAAAAUCUUCAAUUAUACAUUUUCAUUUCUUGUCACUUGGUGUACUUAGGUCUCCAGAUUUGGGGGAAGAGGUGCAGAGGUGUUCCCCAAUCCCUAGCAGAGGGGCCUCCAAGAUGUCAGCUCCUGAUUCUGGCUCUUCCAACCACACUCCUUCCCUACCUGCUUAAAACAGAUGCCUCUCUUAUCCUUAAGGAGAGAGAAGACAGAACUGCUUACUCACUCUCUGGAACUCUCCUAGCCUGAUGGGGGAGGAACAGAGCCACCAGUCUGACUUUGCAGUGCCCCAAACAGUAACCCACAAGGCAACAUACAGGUUAAGACUUGGCUCUGCCACCAACUUCUGUGACUUUGACCGAGCCAUUUCUAGUCUCUUGGCCUCAGUUUACUCAUCUGUAAAGUGAGGGGAUUGAGUAGGCAAUAGCAGAUCUUUUCUAGUACACUUUCUAUGGUUCUCAGUACAAGGUGGGCAUGGGAAGCUCUUUAAUAGUCUUUCUCUCUUCAUCUGUUUUUUUGUUUUUGUUUUAUUUGUUUGCUUGUUUUUGAGACAGAGUUUUGCUGUCACCCAGGCUGGAGCGCAGGGAUACAAUCCUGGCUCACCGCAGCCUUGACCUCCCAGUUUCAAGCGAUUCUCCCAUCUCAACCUCCCAAGUAGCUGGAACUACUGGCAUGUGCCACCAUGCCCAGCUAAUUCUUUUAUUUUUUUAGAGACAGGGUCUCUAUCAGUUAAGGUUGGAGAAUUUAUCUGGGAAGGCUUCCUGGAGGAGGUAAGGAAAAGAAGUCAGCUUGGAGCCAGAAUUAAGUAUUCUGAUUAAUGAGGGACCUGGAGCAUUGUAGGCUUCGGAGCACCUUUUUGGCUCCACCUACUCCUCAGGAGGAAAGGCCUGAGUCUGAGGUUUAAUAGAUACAGUUUUGUUCCUCCUUUCCCUGUAAUUACCUGGCCUGAGACACUCUCAGACUCUGUCCACCACUCCUGUCCUUCAACUCCUCCCACUGUCACCUGAGGAUAGGCUGUAUCUAGAUUCACAUUCUCUACCUCCUACUCCAGAAGAGUAGGUUGUAGGGCAGGUGUCAAAGAAGAGACUCCCAAGCUCUAGACCUGUGGUGUCCAAUAUGGCAGCCAUGAGCCACACAUGGUGAUUGAACAUGGGGAGUGUGGCUGGUCUGAACUGAGAUAUGCUGUACGUGUAAAAUACACAACAGAUUCAGA
RNAcentral lists this long non-coding RNA (1316 nucleotides) under Homo sapiens (human). Its description in RNAcentral is "HSALNT0241014". Lineage: Eukaryota; Metazoa; Chordata; Mammalia; Primates; Hominidae. The record is from RNAcentral.